RNAcentral lists this ribosomal RNA (127 nucleotides) under uncultured bacterium. RNAcentral describes it as "partial 16S ribosomal RNA". The record is from RNAcentral.
UACCGUCAGCCACCUACACGUAGAUGGGUUUCUUCCUAUAUAAAAAGCAGUUUACAACCCAUAGGGGCCGUCUUCCUGCACGCGGCAUGGCUGGGUCAGACUUUUCGCCCAUUGCCCAAUAUUCCUC